UACGUAGGGCGCAAGCGUUGUCCGGAAUUAUUGGGCGUAAAGAGCUCGUAGGCGGCCUGUUGCGUCCGCUGUGAAAUCCCGGGGCUUAACCCCGGGCUUGCAGUGGAUACGGGCAGACUAGAGGUAGGUAGGGGAGAAUGGAAUUCCCGGUGUAGCGGUGAAAUGCGCAGAUAUCGGGAGGAACACCGGUGGCGAAGGCGGUUCUCUGGGCCUUACCUGACACUGAGGAGCGAAAGCGUGGGGAGCGAACAGG
RNAcentral lists this ribosomal RNA (253 nucleotides) under uncultured bacterium. RNAcentral's name for it is "partial 16S ribosomal RNA". It matches the Rfam family "Bacterial small subunit ribosomal RNA", at positions 524 to 776 of the family's 1533-position model. The record is from RNAcentral.